ACAGAGGUCUCAAGCGUUGUUCGGAAUCACUGGGCGUAAAGGGUGCGUAGGUGGCGUGGUAAGUCAGAUGUGAAAGCCCGGGGCUCAACCUCGGAAUUGCAUCCGAUACUACCUGCUAGAGACUGAAGGGGUGACUAGAAUUCUCGGUGUAGCAGUGAAAUGCGUAGAUAUCGAGAGGAAUACCAAAGGCGAAGGCAGGUCACUGGGCAGUUACUGACACUGAGGCACGAAGGCCAGGGGAGCGAACGGGAUUAGAUACCCGUGUAGUCC
RNAcentral lists this ribosomal RNA (270 nucleotides) under uncultured bacterium. RNAcentral describes it as "partial 16S ribosomal RNA". It matches the Rfam family "Bacterial small subunit ribosomal RNA", at positions 525 to 796 of the family's 1533-position model. The record is from RNAcentral.